GUUAUCGUUUAUUUGAUAGUACCUUACUACUUGGAUAACCGUGGUAAUUCUAGAGCUAAUACAUGCUAAAAACCCCGACUUCGGAAGGGGUGUAUUUAUUAGAUAAAAAACCAAUGCCCUUCGGGGCUCCUUGGUGAUUCAUAAUAACUUAACGAAUCGCAUGGCCUUGUGCCGGCGAUGGUUCAUUCAAAUUUCUGCCCUAUCAACUUUCAAUCGUACGGUAUUGGCCUACGAUGGUUUCAACGGGUAACGGGGAAUUAGGGUUCUAUUCCGGAGAGGGAGCCUGAGAAACGGCUACCACAUCCAAGGAAGGCAGCAGGCGCGCAAAUUACCCAAUCCCGACACGGGGAGGUAGUGACAAUAAAUACUGAUACAGGGCUCUUUUGGGUCUUGUAAUUGGAAUGAGUACAAUUUAAAUCCCUUAACGAGGAACAAUUGGAGGGCAAGUCUGGUGCCAGCAGCCGCGGUAAUUCCAGCUCCAAUAGCGUAUAUUAAAGUUGUUGCAGUUGAAAAGCUCGUAGUUGAACCUUGG
This 532-nucleotide ribosomal RNA is filed under the name uncultured fungus. RNAcentral's name for it is "SSU rRNA". It matches the Rfam family "Eukaryotic small subunit ribosomal RNA", at positions 109 to 644 of the family's 1831-position model. The record is from RNAcentral. Lineage: Eukaryota; Fungi.